CCUACGGGCGGCAGCAGUAGGGAAUAUUGCACAAUGGGCGAAAGCCUGAUGCAGCAACGCCGCGUGCGCGAUGAAGGCCUUCGGGUUGUAAAGCGCUUUUCGGGGAGAAGAGGAAGGACGGUAUCCCCGGAAUAAGGCUCGGCUAACUACGUGCCAGCAGCCGCGGUAAAACGUAGGAGCCAAGCGUUAUCCGAAUUCACUGGGCGUAAAGCGCGUGCAGGCGGCCUGGUAAGUUGGAUGUGAAAUCUCCCGGCUCAACUGGGAGAGGCCGUUCAAGACUGUCAGGCUCGAGGGCGACAGAGGGAGGUGGAAUUCCGGGUGUAGUGGUGAAAUGCGUAGAUAUCCGGAGGAACACCAGAGGCGAAGGCGACCUCCUGGGUCGUACCUGACGCUGAGAUGCGAAAGCUAGGGGAGCGAACGGGAUUAGAUACCCCAGUAGUCCC
Molecule: ribosomal RNA, 443 nt
Filed under: uncultured bacterium
Lineage: Bacteria
Description: bacterial SSU rRNA
Rfam family: Bacterial small subunit ribosomal RNA
Source: RNAcentral